This 986-nucleotide unclassified non-coding RNA is filed under the name Melitaea cinxia (Glanville fritillary). Its description in RNAcentral is "misc RNA ENSMCXG00005005932.1". Lineage: Eukaryota; Metazoa; Arthropoda; Insecta; Lepidoptera; Nymphalidae. The record is from RNAcentral.
CUUGCGUAACUUAACGAAAAUAAAUAUGUAAAGUUACUAACUUCUUUCAAAACUUUUAAAUACGAAUGACAAUUUAACGUGAUCCGCGUCUUAAGUAUUUUCCCUAUAGCCUUUAAUUGCGGGUAAUUUUGUAAUUAGGGCGAUCGUAAAGCACAUUCGUUUUAGUAAUUUAUUUAUAUAACACGUGAAAGGGAUUCCUCUGAACAUUGGGUGAAUGGAAGUGUUAUGUAAAAUAUGUACACAUGUACUGACUAAAUGGCGCCUCUGAUUUCAUAUAUUUAUGUUCUGAUAAUGUACUAAUGAUGAAGUUUUUGUUUAAUUUUUCUGUAUAUAGACCUUGUCCCGGCAAUAAAAAACGUGAAAAAAUUUAUUCAAUUUCGUGUUGUUCGAAAGUUAUGCGCGUACAUACAUUUCGGCGAUUGAUUUUCAAUUAUAUGUCGAUAGAUCGAUUAUUCAGUUGUGUUAUCCUCAGUUAACAAUGCAUAGUAAUCUACACUAAUAUUAUAAAGCUGAAAGAUUUCUAGUUUAAUAUAUUUCAUUUUUUAUUGAAAUACAAAACAUGCCCGUGACUUUUCUUGAAAUAAAAUGAAUUUUACAGGCGACUUAUUGGUGCAACGUUAAUAAAAAAUGAAUAACGAAAGUUUAUAUGCCUUUUCUGUCGUAUUCUUUAUUCUGUUAUUAAUAACUUGGGUGAUUUUUUAUUUGUCAAUAAUACAUUUUAUUUUGGUUCAAUAUAUUAUAAUAACGAUCAUCAGAAAUAAGGUUAAGCGAUCACAUUAUUUAAGCCUCAAAAAUCUUAAAAAGUUUUUAUUUUACAGAAAAACUGACAACUGAGGCACAAUAGGAAAUAUCUUGCACAAAAUAUGGAGCAGUCCCACUGGGGAAGGACCUCGAUCUGAAAGAAGAUCACAGGGUCGAUUUUUGAUAUUAUAUUGAAAAAUGUUUAGAAGAUCGCAGCUAAAUAAUGCUACUCUCAUGCAUUGUCG